Molecule: long non-coding RNA, 1835 nt
Organism: Panicum virgatum (switchgrass)
Lineage: Eukaryota; Viridiplantae; Streptophyta; Magnoliopsida; Poales; Poaceae
Exons: 5
Source: RefSeq, a predicted model, not a curated record
GUUGCAUCACUAGGGUUUCUGCCCGCUCGUUCGUGCGCUCCACCUCGCUUCGCCUUCCCCGAUUCAGCAGCCGCCUUCUGCUAAAAAAAAAAAGAUUCAGCAGCCGCCUCGCCUCCGGGCGGAUAAGAUCCCCAAUCCCCAUGGCGGCGGCGAAGGAGGAGUUCACGGACGCGCGCGUGGGAUUGGCGGCGGCAGAUGCAGCGUCUCCAGGCGGCCACGGAGCUCCCCUCGUGAGGGCGCCGCCGGCUGCGGUCGAUGCAGGAGGAGCAACCCGCAGCUCCUGCUCCUGUUCCCACCCCCGUACUCCCCGCUCCCGGGGUCGCGGAGAGAGACGGCACCGCCAGCCUGGACACGCCGCUCGCCUGCCUCUCCUCUCCCUCUCGUCUCGACAGCAACAAUGGAAUCCUCCCAACCGCCUGAGGUUCAUCCCCUUCCCCCUUCCACCGCCCAAGCCUUAGCUGUCUCUCUCCUCCCCGGAUCCUAAACCUCUUAAUCAUGGGAGCUCAGUGCCUCCUCCGUGAAGCCCGGAUCCAAAUGCUAGGGCUUCGAAUCGAAGGCCCCGUUCCCUGUUCGGUAGUCACCGCCGCCAGGUAGCAGAAAUUUCUGAUUAAUGUUGUAUAUAUGUGCUGAAGAUUCUGCUGCAGCCACCAUGGUUAUCCCACCCUUUUGUGCUCUUCUAACAAUCUUAAAUAUAGUCACAAAAUAUUCUGCUCUUUUGCCAUGUCUAAUAAUUUUCACUUAUCAUGUGGCUUGCCUUGUUUUUGUAGUGCUCUUCAAUUUGCUGCUGAACAAAUAUGAGGAUGUGGCCUAUGGCAAUGUUCCAACCAGACCUAUCGCAGGUAGGUGUAAGUAAAAUUAACAAAGUACUGCUCUAUGUCGAGAUCUUUCCUGCAAUGUUUCAGUGUUCAACAAGCUCACCUUAGUCUUCUUAGACUAUUAUUGCUUACCAAUGCCAGAUAAGAGAAGAUCACAUUUAUCUGAUCUAGAGCGACCAGAAGCUCAGCACCAUCAAGGCUAACACGUACCGCAAGAGCUCUGCCUCCUCCUCCCCUGCGCAUCCCAUCAAGAUGCUUUUGUGCAUAGGUAGUGACAUUCUGGGAGGGGGAGAUGGUAGCUGCUAAAAAAGAAGACGAUGAUGAUGCCACCGCCAUGUUCUUGAUGAGCGGCGGCCGAGCGCUAGCCGCUAGAUGGGCAUCGGCCUGCGCGCGCCGCGCCAGGGCUACCCGUUGGGCGGUGCCUCGGCGCCGGCAUGUGGCUCCCCCUACGCGAGGCGCUGCCUUCGCAGCUCGGCGCCGGGGCGCAGCUUCGCGUCUGCGAGGCGCGGGCAGAUGGGCUAGCAGCGGCCUGCGGGCGCAGCUUGGCACCGGUGUGUGGCUCCGCAUACGCGAAGCACCGGCAGAAGGGUAGGCAGCGACCGGCAGGCGCAGCUCGGCGCCAGCUCGCGGCUCCGCCUCCGCGAGGCGCGUGCGAAAGGGCAAGGAGCGGCCUGCGGCUCCGCCACUGCAAGGCGUGGGCGGAAGGGCAAGCAGAAGCUGCGGGCGCAUCUAAUCAGACGCUCACCUCCAGCACGCCCGCAACGCUCCGUCACCAUGGCUGGCAUGCACAUCACGCACGUCCGCGAAUACAUUGAAAUCAGGAAAUAUAUUGGAUAGAAGGUCUUUUGGAGGUGGCCCUGACCUGACACCAUUGUAUAUCGCUGAAGAGGAUGUCAAUCACUUCCAUUCUGUAUGUGAAUAGCUCCUUUCCACUUGUUCAGAACAUAAAUAUAAAUCCAUGCUAUUUUUUUUUACCAAAAGCAACUUGUCCGAGGCUAUUGAGCUUGACUUGACCUUUAU